RNAcentral lists this ribosomal RNA (460 nucleotides) under uncultured bacterium. Its description in RNAcentral is "partial 16S ribosomal RNA". It matches the Rfam family "Bacterial small subunit ribosomal RNA", at positions 338 to 795 of the family's 1533-position model. The record is from RNAcentral.
CCUACGGGUGGCAGCAGUGAGGAAUAUUGGUCAAUGGGCGCUAGCCUGAACCAGCCACGUAGCGUGAAGGACGAUUGCCCUAUGGGUUGUAAACUUUUUUUAUAUGGGACUAAAGUGCAGUAUGUAUACUGCUCUGCAUGUACCUUAUGAUUAAGGACGGGGUAACUCCGUGCCAGCAGCCGCGGUUAUCCGGAGGAUCCGAGCGUUAUCCGGAUUUAUUGGGGUUAAAGGGACCGUAGGCGGGAGGUUAAGUCAGUUGUGAAAGUUGGCGGCUCAACCGUAAAAUUGCAGUUGAUACUGGCAGCCUUGAGUGCAGGAGAGGUAGGCGGAAUGCGUGGUGUAGCGGUGAAAUGCAUAGAUAUCACGAAGAACUCCGAUUGCGAAGGCAGCCUGCUGGACUGUAACUGACGCUGAUGCUCGAAAGUGUGGGUAUCAAACAGGAUUAGAUACCCCUGUAGUC